Molecule: ribosomal RNA, 244 nt
Filed under: Blepharisma stoltei
Lineage: Eukaryota; Ciliophora; Heterotrichea; Heterotrichida; Blepharismidae
Rfam family: Eukaryotic small subunit ribosomal RNA
Source: RNAcentral
AAUCUGGUUGAUCCUGCCAGUAGUCAUAUGCUUGUCUCAAAGAUUAAGCCAUGCAUGUCUAAGUAUAAGCAAUUAUACGGCGAGACUGCGAAUGGCUCAUUAAAACAGUUAUAGUUUAUUUGCUAGACGUUUAUAUGGAUAACCGUAGUAAUUCUAGAGCUAAUACAUGCUGGUUACGCUGUGCGUAGUAUUUAUUAGAUAAAACCCAACGGGGGCGACCCUGUGGAGGAAUCAUAAUAACUUA